AUACGGAAGGUCCGGGCGUUAUCCGGAUUUAUUGGGUUUAAAGGGAGCGCAGGCUGAUUGCUAAGCGUGACGUGAAAUGUAGCCGCUCAACGGCUGAACUGCGUCGCGAACUGGCAGUCUUGAGUGAGUACGACGUCAGCGGAAUUCGUGGUGUAGCGGUGAAAUGCUUAGAUAUCACGAAGAACCCCGAUUGCGAAGGCAGCUGACGAGUCCUUUACUGACGCUAAAGCUCGAAGGUGCGGGUAUCGAACAGGAUUAGAUACCCUGGUAGUCCGCACGGUAAACGAUGGAUGCCCGCUGUUGGCGAUAUACAGUCAGCGGCCAAGCGAAAGCGUUAAGCAUCCCACCUGGGGAGUACGCCGGCAACGGUGAAACUCAAAUGAAUUGGCGGGG
RNAcentral lists this ribosomal RNA (393 nucleotides) under uncultured bacterium. Its description in RNAcentral is "partial 16S ribosomal RNA". It matches the Rfam family "Bacterial small subunit ribosomal RNA", at positions 523 to 918 of the family's 1533-position model. The record is from RNAcentral.